UGGAUGAACUCCGGAUCAUUUGUGAGUCUGAAGGGAUGAUAGAUAAAGACAUAUAGAGAGGUAGUUGCACGCAAGGUGCAGGACACAGGAAGGUCAGGACGGGGAAAGGGGUUACGGAGCCAGAGUACGCCCGUGGCCAUCCCCCUUAACAACAGGUCUAUCGGGGGGAGGGUGCAAAGUCGCAGGGGGCGAGUCACUGGCACUGAGUCUGCCUCUGUGACUCAAAAGGGAAAGAGGGAGAAGGGGCACGCUGUGGUGAUAGGGGAUUCGUUAGUUAGGGGACCGGACAAGAGGUUCUGUGGGCGAGAAUGAGAUUCCCGGUUGGUAUGUUGCCUCCCGGGUGCCAGGGGUCGAGUUCUCAGCAUUCUGAAGUGGGAUGGUAAGCAGCCACAAGUCGUGGUCCAUGUAGGUGCCAAUGACAGGUAGGUCCUGCAUAGGGAAUUCAGGGAGUUCGGUACUAAGUUAAAGGGCGGGACCUCCAGGGUUGUGAUCGCAGGAUUGCUACACGAGGCCAGAACUAGGAAGAUUAUACGGUUUAAUACGUGGCUAAGGAGUUGUUGUAGAAGGGAGGGUAUAAGACUUUUGGAUCAUUGGGCUCUCUUCUAGGGAAGUGGGACCUGUACUGGAGGGGGACUAAUAUCUGAUUGGAAAGUUUUGUUAAUGCUACACAGAUUAGAGAUUAAAUUAGAGUUGCAGGAGAGGGGAACCAGAACAGUUAGUGGAGGCAGAUGUUGGUUAGACAGCAGACAAGAUUAGGAAUCAAAAGGUUGAGCAUGGUGCGACUGGUGUCCUGAGUUGCGUAUAUUUCAAUGCAACAAGUAUCGUAGGAAAGGAUAAUGCUGAGGAUGAGCGAGCUGGUUUACAAACAGAGGCAAUGUGAGGAGAGGCUGUUGAUAGGGCAAAAUUGCAGCCAACAGGAUGAGUUGGAACGUAUCAGGCGGACAAAAUCGAGAAGAGUGAAUACAGGACAGAAGGUUUUGUAUUUGAAUGCACACAGUAUACGGAAUAAGAUGUUGCCUGACCUGCUGAGAUCCUCCAGCAUUUUGUGUGUCUUGCUCUUUGAUACCACAGAAGUUAAAUGGUACAGAGAUCCUUUGGAAGCACUAGAUGUAUUUUGGAACAUGUACAUUUUUAAGUGACAAAGGGGAUUGCAUUGUGACUGGUUGCAUCACAAUCUUACGCGGAGGGUCUAAUGCACAGAACCGCAAGAAGAUGCAGAUUGCAGCAGACUCACUCAGCUCCAGCACGUGCACAUCUUCCCCAUCAUUAAGGGCAUCUUCAAGAGGCGGUACCUCAGGAAGUUGGCACCCAUCACAGAGGAUCCUCACCAUCCGGGACAUGCCCUCUUCUCAAUACUGCCAAAGGGGAGGAGGUAUAGGAUCCGGAAGACAUGUGCUCUACGACUCAGAAAGAGCUUCUACCCCCUUCUGCCAUCAGAUUUCUGACUGGCCCAUGAACUCGUGAACACUACUUCGUUAUUCCUGUACUAUUUAUUUUUGUAGUUUUAUGUUUUAGGACUGUACUGCUGCC
Mobula hypostoma (lesser devil ray) is the source of this 1530-nucleotide long non-coding RNA. RefSeq lists it as uncharacterized. The transcript has 3 exons. The record is from RefSeq and is a predicted model, not a curated record. Lineage: Eukaryota; Metazoa; Chordata; Chondrichthyes; Myliobatiformes; Myliobatidae.